ACACGUAGGGGGCAAGCGUUGUUCGGAAUUACUGGGCGUAAAGGGCAUGUAGGCGGUUUGGUAAGCCUGACGUGAAAGGCUAUGGCUCAACCAUGGCACGGCGUUGGGAACUGCUAGACUUGAGUCACGGAGAGGGAGCUGGAAUUCCAGGUGUAGGGGUGAAAUCUGUAGAUAUCUGGAAGAACACCAGUGGCGAAGGCGAGCUCCUGGCCGAUGACUGACGCUGAGGUGCGAAAGUGUGGGGAUCAAACAGGAUUAGAGACCCUGGUAGUCCACACUGUCAACGAUGUGCACUAGGUGCUGGGGCGGACGCUUCAGUGCCGGAGCUAACGCGGUAAAUGCACCGCCUGGGGAGUAUGCUCGCAAGGGUGAA
RNAcentral lists this ribosomal RNA (373 nucleotides) under uncultured bacterium. RNAcentral describes it as "bacterial SSU rRNA". It matches the Rfam family "Bacterial small subunit ribosomal RNA", at positions 523 to 898 of the family's 1533-position model. The record is from RNAcentral.